GCUUAGUAGCGGCGAGUGAGCGGCAAAAGCUCAAAUUUGAAAUCUGGCACCUUCGGUGUCCGAGUUGUAAUUUGAAGAUUGUAACCUUGGGGUUGGCUCUUGUCUAUGUUUCUUGGAACAGGACGUCACAGAGGGUGAGAAUCCCGUGCGAUGAGAUGCCCAAUCCUAUGUAAGGUGCUUUCGAAGAGUCGAGUUGUUUGGGAAUGCAGCUCUAAGUGGGUGGUAAAUUCCAUCUAAAGCUAAAUAUUGGCGAGAGACCGAUAGCGAACAAGUACAGUGAUGGAAAGAUGAAAAGAACUUUGAAAAGAGAGUGAAAAAGUACGUGAAAUUGUUGAAAGGGAAGGGUUUGAGAUCAGACUCGAUAUUUUGUGAGCCUUGCCUUCGUGGCGGGGUGACCCGCAGCUUAUCGGGCCAGCAUCGGUUUGGGCGGUAGGAUAAUGGCGUAGGAAUGUGACUUUGC
RNAcentral lists this ribosomal RNA (460 nucleotides) under Meyerozyma sp. RNAcentral's name for it is "eukaryotic LSU rRNA". It matches the Rfam family "Eukaryotic large subunit ribosomal RNA", at positions 78 to 544 of the family's 3401-position model. Lineage: Eukaryota; Fungi; Ascomycota; Pichiomycetes; Serinales; Debaryomycetaceae. The record is from RNAcentral.